UACGUAGGGUGCGAGCGUUAAUCGGAAUUACUGGGCGUAAAGCGUGCGCAGGCGGUUCGUUAAGUCCGAUGUGAAAGCCCUGAGCUUAACUUGGGAAUGGCAUUGGAAACUGGCGGGCUGGAGUGUGGCAGAGGGGGGUGGAAUUCCACGUGUAGCAGUGAAAUGCGUAGAGAUGUGGAGGAACACCGAUGGCGAAGGCAGCCCCCUGGGCCAACACUGACGCUCAGGCACGAAAGCGUGGGGAGCAAACAGG
RNAcentral lists this ribosomal RNA (253 nucleotides) under uncultured bacterium. Its description in RNAcentral is "partial 16S ribosomal RNA". It matches the Rfam family "Bacterial small subunit ribosomal RNA", at positions 524 to 776 of the family's 1533-position model. The record is from RNAcentral.